Molecule: ribosomal RNA, 250 nt
Filed under: uncultured bacterium
Lineage: Bacteria
Description: partial 16S ribosomal RNA
Rfam family: Bacterial small subunit ribosomal RNA
Source: RNAcentral
UACGUAUGUCGCAAGCGUUAUCCGGAAUUAUUGGGCGUAAAGCGAGUCUAGGCGGCUUGUUAAGUCAGAUGUGAAAAUGCGGGGCUCAACUCCGUAUUGCGUUUGAAACUGGCAGGCUAGAGUACUGGAGAGGUGGGCGGAACUACAAGUGUAGAGGUGAAAUUCGUAGAUAUUUGUAGGAAUGCCGAUAGUGAAGACAGCUCACUGGACAGAUACUGACGCUAAAGCUCGAAAGCGUGGGGAGCAAACA